Molecule: transfer RNA, 69 nt
Filed under: Urocitellus parryii (Arctic ground squirrel)
Lineage: Eukaryota; Metazoa; Chordata; Mammalia; Rodentia; Sciuridae
Also listed under: 1 other name
Description: Spermophilus parryii (Arctic ground squirrel) tRNA
Rfam family: tRNA
About the family: Transfer RNA (tRNA) molecules are approximately 80 nucleotides in length. Their secondary structure includes four short double-helical elements and three loops (D, anti-codon, and T loops).
Source: Rfam by way of RNAcentral
AGGGUUGUGACUCAGCGGUAGAGUGCUCACCUCACACGUGUGACACCCUGGGUUCAAUCCUCAGCACUA